ACUAAAUAUAAAUUAUGUCAAGAAGGACAAAACUCCAUUUGAGGACUAUCCAGAACUCAAGAAAGAGUGGUGGCCAGACUUUGUGGAGUGGGUUACCUCUGAUGAGUAUAUUGCUCUAGGAGAAAAGGGCAAGCAAAGCCAAAGCAUGAAUAAGUUCCGACAAAAACUAGGUCGGCGAAGCUAUACUGUACAAAAGAGAAAAUGGGCAAAGGAAGAUGCACAAGCAUUAACCGAGGGUAAAUCUAUUCCAUUUCAAGACAUGCCAGAUGGUCGUCAUAAGGAUUGGGCAAGGGCGAGGAAUCCUUCUGGCGAUGUGAACAUAACAGAGUCGCAUCCAAUCAUAAAGAAAAUUGUAGAUCUAAAUGAAAAGUCAGUAGCUGGUACCUUUACACCAUUGGAUAAUAUGGACAUACUUGCAACAGCAAUAGGGAGUAAUCAUCCAUGGAGGACAACAGGGGUGAGUGCUUAUGUGGGUUUAGGGAUGGGUCUUGCUCAAGGUGAUGGCCCUCGUAAGAAGAAACGUAGAACAACGAAAGAGUAUGUCAAGAGGAUUGUGGAUGAGUACGAGGCCAAGUUUGAGAAACUGACAGCCCUGUGUUAGAGUAUGGAGCGUCGAUUAAACAAUUCUGAGAGUUGCUCAUCUUCAAAAUUUGUUGAUACACCAGACCAUGCAACACAUCAUUCAGUUGACUCAUUACAAGAGGUGAUGAAAUGCAAGUUGGUGGUGCAGAUAGGUCCGCAAUCUGUUGUGGUCGCUAGAGGGUAGGCUUACCCUCCAAAGGAUGUUGUAACCGUCCAUGGGAUUGAGCGGCGAGAUGACCACACAAAAGUGCAGGUUGAUUUUGUGUUUGACAACUUCUUGGAAUUUCCACUCCCUAUUCCUAUCGCUGGUGGUGAUAUGUU
Molecule: long non-coding RNA, 903 nt
Organism: Zea mays
Lineage: Eukaryota; Viridiplantae; Streptophyta; Magnoliopsida; Poales; Poaceae
Exons: 3
Source: RefSeq, a predicted model, not a curated record